Molecule: non-coding RNA, 31 nt
Filed under: Mus musculus (house mouse)
Lineage: Eukaryota; Metazoa; Chordata; Mammalia; Rodentia; Muridae
Source: RNAcentral
GACAAAUACUGCAGAAAGCCUGUGCUCUACA